UACGUAGGGCGCAAGCGUUAUCCGGAAUUAUUGGGCGUAAAGAGCUCGUAGGCGGUUUGUCGCGUCUGCCGUGAAAGUCCGGGGCUUAACUCCGGAUCUGCGGUGGGUACGGGCAGACUAGAGUGCAGUAGGGGAGACUGGAAUUCCUGGUGUAGCGGUGAAAUGCGCAGAUAUCAGGAGGAACACCGAUGGCGAAGGCAGGUCUCUGGGCUGUAACUGACGCUGAGGAGCGAAAGCGUGGGGAGCAAACAGG
This 253-nucleotide ribosomal RNA is filed under the name uncultured bacterium. Its description in RNAcentral is "partial 16S ribosomal RNA". It matches the Rfam family "Bacterial small subunit ribosomal RNA", at positions 524 to 776 of the family's 1533-position model. The record is from RNAcentral.